GUGGGGAAUAUUCCGCAAUGGACGAAAGUCUGACGGAGCAACGCCGCGUGAGUGAUGAAGGUUUUCGGACUGUAAAGCUCUGUUGUUCAGGACGAAAGUGCCUGUUGCGAACAGUUACAGGUAUUGACGGUACUGAACGAGGAAGCCACGGCUAACUACGUGCCAGCAGCCGCGGUAAUACGUAGGUGGCAAGCGUUGUCCGGAAUUAUUGGGCGUAAAGAGCAUGUAGGCGGGAAUCUAAGUCUGUUGUGAAAAUGCGGGGCUCAACCCCGUAUGGCGAUGGAAACUGGAGUUCUUGAGUGCAGGAGAGGAAAGGGGAAUUCCCAGUGUAGCGGUGAAAUGCGUAGAUAUUGGGAGGAACACCAGUGGCGAAGGCGCCUUUCUGGACUGUGUCUGACGCUGAGAUGCGAAAGCCAGGGUAGCGAACGGGAUUAGAUACCCCAGUAGUCC
This 450-nucleotide ribosomal RNA is filed under the name uncultured bacterium. Its description in RNAcentral is "partial 16S ribosomal RNA". It matches the Rfam family "Bacterial small subunit ribosomal RNA", at positions 354 to 796 of the family's 1533-position model. The record is from RNAcentral.